RNAcentral lists this ribosomal RNA (393 nucleotides) under uncultured bacterium. Its description in RNAcentral is "bacterial SSU rRNA". It matches the Rfam family "Bacterial small subunit ribosomal RNA", at positions 30 to 426 of the family's 1533-position model. The record is from RNAcentral.
AUUGAACGCUGGCGGCAUGCCUUACACAUGCAAGUCGAACGGCAGCACGGGGCAACCUGGUGGCGAGUGGCGAACGGGUGAGUAAUGCAUCGGAACGUGCCAUUGAGUGGGGGAUAACGUAGCGAAAGUUGCGCUAAUACCGCAUAUUCUGUGAGCAGGAAAGCAGGGGGACCGCAAGGCCUUGCGCUCUUUGAGCGGCCGAUGUCAGAUUAGCUAGUUGGUGAGGUAACGGCUUACCAAGGCGACGAUCUGUAGCGGGUCUGAGAGGAUGAUCCGCCACACUGGAACUGAGACACGGUCCAGACUCCUACGGGGGACAGCAGUGGGGAAUUUUGGACAAUGGGCGCAAGCCUGAUCCAGCCAUGCCGCGUGAGUGAAGAAGGCCUCGGUUGU